UACAGAGGGCUCAAGCGUUGUUCGGAUUCAUUGGGCGUAAAGGGUGCGUAGGCGGCGCUGUAAGUCGGGGGUGAAAUUUCGGAGCUUAACUCCGAAACUGCAUUCGAUACUGCGGUGCUUGAGGACUGGAGAGGAGACUGGAAUUCAUGGUGUAGCAGUGAAAUGCGUAGAGAUCAUGAGGAAGACCAGUGGCGAAGGCGGGUCUCUGGACAGUUCCUGACACUGAGGCACGAAGGCCAGGGGAGCAAACGGG
This 253-nucleotide ribosomal RNA is filed under the name uncultured bacterium. Its description in RNAcentral is "partial 16S ribosomal RNA". It matches the Rfam family "Bacterial small subunit ribosomal RNA", at positions 524 to 776 of the family's 1533-position model. The record is from RNAcentral.